RNAcentral lists this ribosomal RNA (497 nucleotides) under uncultured bacterium. Its description in RNAcentral is "partial 16S ribosomal RNA". It matches the Rfam family "Bacterial small subunit ribosomal RNA", at positions 28 to 507 of the family's 1533-position model. The record is from RNAcentral.
GAUGAACGCUGGCGGCGUGCCUAAUACAUGCAAGUCGAGCGAACAGACGAGGCGCUUGCUCCUCUGACGUUAGCGGCGGACGGGUGAGUAACACUUGUAUAACCUACCUCUAAGACUGUGAUAACUUCGGGAAACCGGAGCUAAUACCGGAUAAUAUAUUGAACCGCAUUGUUCAAUAGUUAAAGUCGGUUUUUCUGUCACUUAUAGAUGGCUCCGCGCCGCAUUAGCUAGUUGGUAAGGUAACGGCUUACCAAGGCAACGAUGCGUAGCCGACCUGAGAGGGUGGAUGGACACACUGGAUCUGAGAAUCGGCCCAGACUCCGGGGGGAGGCAGCAGUAGAGAAUCUUCCGCAAUGGGCGAGAGCGUGAAGGAGCAAAGCCGCGUAAGUGAUGAAGGACUUCGGAUCGUAAAACUAUGUUAGUAGGGAAGAACAAAUGUGUAAGUAACUAUGAACGUAUUGACGGUACCUGAUCAGAAAGCCACGGCUAACUACGUG